UACGUAGGGUCCAAGCGUUAUCCGGAAUCACUGGGCGUAAAGCGUGCGUAGGCGGCGUGUUAAGUGUGAUGUUAAAUCGUGUGGCUCAACCAUAUCGAUGCAUCACAUACUGGCAUGCUAGAGGAAGGCAGAGGCAAGUGGAAUUUGUAGUGUAGCAGUGAAAUGCGUAGAUAUUACAAGGAACACCAAUGGCGAAGGCAGCUUGCUGGGCCUUUUCUGACGCUGAGGUACGAAAGCGUGGGGAGCGAACAGG
This 253-nucleotide ribosomal RNA is filed under the name uncultured bacterium. RNAcentral's name for it is "partial 16S ribosomal RNA". It matches the Rfam family "Bacterial small subunit ribosomal RNA", at positions 524 to 776 of the family's 1533-position model. RNAcentral also lists the same sequence under 1 other name. The record is from RNAcentral.